RNAcentral lists this ribosomal RNA (464 nucleotides) under uncultured bacterium. RNAcentral describes it as "partial 16S ribosomal RNA". It matches the Rfam family "Bacterial small subunit ribosomal RNA", at positions 28 to 507 of the family's 1533-position model. The record is from RNAcentral.
GACGAACGCUGGCGGCGUGCUUAACACAUGCAAGUCGAACGGAAAGGCCCCUUUGGGGGUACUCGAGUGGCGAACGGGUGCGUAACACGUGAGUAACCUGCCCUUGACUUCGGGAUAACUUCAGGAAACUGGGGCUAAUACCGGAUAGGAAUCCUUGCUGCAUGUUGGGGGUUGGAAAGCUUCGGCGGUUUUGGAUGGACUCGCGGCUUAUCAGCUUGUUGGUGGGGUAGUGGCUUACCAAGGCUUUGACGGGUAGCCGGCCUGAGAGGGCGACCGGCCACAUUGGGACUGAGAUACGGCCCAGACUCCUACGGGAGGCAGCAGUGGGGAAUAUUGCACAAUGGGCGGAAGCCUGAUGCAGCAACGCCGCGUGCGGGGUGACGGCCUUCGGGUUGUAAACCGCUUUCAGCAGGGGCGAAGCUUUUGUGACGGUACCUGCAGAAGAAGCACCGGCUAACUACGUG